RNAcentral lists this unclassified non-coding RNA (250 nucleotides) under uncultured Sordariomycetes. Its description in RNAcentral is "sequence contains ITS1". The stretch from base 1 to 104 matches the Rfam family "5.8S ribosomal RNA", at positions 50 to 154 of the family's 154-position model. The record is from RNAcentral. Lineage: Eukaryota; Fungi; Ascomycota; Sordariomycetes.
GAACUGCGAUACGUGAUGUGAAUUGCAGAAUUUGUGAAUCAUCGAAACUUUGAACGCACAUUGCGCCUGUUGGUACUCCGUCAGGCACGUCUGUUUGAGCGUUGUUAAACUCUCAGCGAAGCUGGUUGUGGAAGAGGCGGCGCCCUUCCGAAAUGUCUCAGCAUUGUGCCACGGCGAAACGUGAAGCAUUGCUGCACACCUUACUCGUAUCCACAACCUCAAAUCAGACGAGAAUACCCGCUGAACUUAA